Molecule: ribosomal RNA, 500 nt
Filed under: uncultured Glomeromycotina
Lineage: Eukaryota; Fungi; Glomeromycota
Description: partial small subunit ribosomal RNA
Rfam family: Eukaryotic small subunit ribosomal RNA
Source: RNAcentral
CCAAUAGCGUAUAUUAAAGUUGUUGCAGUUAAAAAGCUCGUAGUUGAACCUUAGGCCCGUGCGGGCGGUCCGUCCUCUGGGCGAGCACUGCUUCGUCGCGGGUCUCACCUUCUGGCGAGCGUGGAUGCCAUUUAUUUGGUGUCCGCGGGAACCAGGACCUUUACCUUGAAAAAAUUAGAGUGCUCAAAGCGGGCUCCGACGCUUGAAUACAUUAGCAUGGAAUAAUGAAAUAGGACGAUGGUUCUAUUUUGUUGGUUUCCGGGACCGUCGUAAUGAUUAAUAGGGAUAGUUGGGGGCAUUCGUAUUCAAUUGUCAGAGGUGAAAUUCUUGGAUUUAUUGAAGACGAACUACUGCGAAAGCAUUUGCCAAGGAUGUUUUCAUUAAUCAAGAACGAAAGUUGGGGGAUCGAAGACGAUCAGAUACCGUCGUAGUCUCAACCAUAAACUAUGCCGACUGGGAAUCGGGCGAUGUUACUUUUCUGACUCGCUCGGCGCCCCGAG